RNAcentral lists this small nucleolar RNA (122 nucleotides) under Meriones unguiculatus (Mongolian gerbil). RNAcentral describes it as "Small nucleolar RNA SNORA51 (ENSMUGG00000026277.1)". It matches the Rfam family "Small nucleolar RNA SNORA51". Rfam says of the family: ACA51 is a member of the H/ACA class of snoRNA that guide the sites of modification of uridines to pseudouridines. The record is from RNAcentral. Lineage: Eukaryota; Metazoa; Chordata; Mammalia; Rodentia; Muridae.
GGCCUCCCUGUGCUUACCACGGGGCCUAUGAUCUCACAGUGCAUGUAUAAAAGGUUAACCUGCCCCAUCUACACCUCAGCCUAGGCCACUGUACCUGCUGUGUAUUGUGAAUGGAGACAUGG